RNAcentral lists this ribosomal RNA (490 nucleotides) under uncultured bacterium. Its description in RNAcentral is "bacterial SSU rRNA". It matches the Rfam family "Bacterial small subunit ribosomal RNA", at positions 1 to 507 of the family's 1533-position model. The record is from RNAcentral.
UACGAGUUUGAUCAUGGCUCAGGAUGAACGCUAGCGGCAGGCUUAAUACAUGCAAGUCAAGGGGGUAGCAAUACAACCGGCGCACGGGUGAGUAACGCGUACACAACAUACCAUAUACUGGGGUAUAGCUUCGGGAAACUGGAGAUAAUCCCCCAUAACAUUGCGAGAGGGCAUCUGAUUGCAAUUAAAGUUUCGACGGUAUAUGAUUGGUGUGCGUUUGAUUAGCUUGUUGGUAGGGUAACGGCCUACCAAGGCGACGAUCAAUAGCUGGCGUGAGAGCGCGACCAGCCACACUGGAACUGAGACACGGUCCAGACUCCUACGGGAGGCAGCAGUAGGGAAUAUUGGACAAUGGGCGAAAGCCUGAUCCAGCCAUGCCGCGUGAUAGAUGAAGGCCCUCUGGGUUGUAAAUAUCUUUUAUCUGGGAAGAAACUCCUCUAUUCUUAGAGGCCUGACGGUACCAGAGGAAUAAGCACCGGCUAACUCCGUG